UAAUCGGUCCUUUUCAGGACCACCGAAAAUGAUUCCUUGAGAAUAAU
Aedes albopictus (Asian tiger mosquito) is the source of this 47-nucleotide non-coding RNA. NCBI's taxonomy places the organism in Eukaryota, Metazoa, Arthropoda, Insecta, Diptera, Culicidae. The record is from Rfam.